GACGUCUCUCACAACAGAUUGUUCCGAGACUGAGGAGGUUGCAGGUGGCCCCAUCUCCCUCCAUCUACAGUAGGACACUGGAGACUUGGAAUGUCACCUGGUGAAAUGAAGAUUCUGCUGCUGAUUCUGGGUUGUCUGAACUCAGCCUCGGUGACAGACUCUGCACUCGGUGACCCGUGUGUGACCCACACCGUCCUGGAUCAGCCCUGGAGGAGCACGGAUUGUUCCAACACUGAGUGCAGCGCUGGGACAUGGAUGGACGAUAGAAAUCUCGCAGUGGGAUGGUACAGAUUCUACAGUUCCGGUGGAUGGAAGAUUCCGGAGACUGUCGUUCUCGUGAAUCACUGCUCCGGGCAGUACCCAGGCUGGUUAGCCGGUA
Molecule: long non-coding RNA, 379 nt
Organism: Amblyraja radiata (thorny skate)
Lineage: Eukaryota; Metazoa; Chordata; Chondrichthyes; Rajiformes; Rajidae
Exons: 4
Source: RefSeq, a predicted model, not a curated record